This 517-nucleotide ribosomal RNA is filed under the name uncultured bacterium. RNAcentral describes it as "partial 16S ribosomal RNA". It matches the Rfam family "Bacterial small subunit ribosomal RNA", at positions 28 to 505 of the family's 1533-position model. The record is from RNAcentral.
GACGAACGCUGGCGGCGUGCCUAAUACAUGCAAGUCGAGCGAGUCUGCCUUGAAGAUCGGAGUGCUUGCACUCUGUGAAACAAGAUACAGGCUAGCGGCGGACGGGUGAGUAACACGUGGGUAACCUGCCCAAGAGAUCGGGAUAACACCUGGAAACAGAUGCUAAUACCGGAUAACAACAGAUGAUGCCUAUCAACUGUUUAAAAGAUGGUUCUGCUAUCACUCUUGGAUGGACCUGCGGUGCAUUAGCUAGUUGGUAGGGUAACGGCCUACCAAGGCGAUGAUGCAUAGCCGAGUUGAGAGACUGAUCGGCCACAUUGGGACUGAGACACGGCCCAAACUCCUACGGGAGGCAGCAGUAGGGAAUCUUCCACAAUGGACGCAAGUCUGAUGGAGCAACGCCGCGUGAGUGAAGAAGGGUUUCGGCUCGUAAAGCUCUGUUGUUGGUGAAGAAGGACAGGGGUAGUAACUGACCUUUGUUUGACGGUAAUCAAUUAGAAAGUCACGGCUAACUACG